AUUGAACGCUGGCGGCAGGCCUAACACAUGCAAGUCGGAUGGUAACAGGAAACAGCUUGCUGUUUCGCUGACGAGUGGCGGACGGGUGAGUAAUGUCUGGGAAACUGCCUGAUGGAGGGGGAUAACUACUGGAAACGGUAGCUAAUACCGCAUAACGUCGCAAGACCAAAGAGGGGGACCUUCGGGCCUCUUGCCAUCAGAUGUGCCCAGAUGGGAUUAGCUAGUAGGUGGGGUAACGGCUCACCUAGGCGACGAUCCCUAGCUGGUCUGAGAGGAUGACCAGCCACACUGGAACUGAGACACGGUCCAGACUCCUACGGGAGGCAGCAGUGGGGAAUAUUGCACAAUGGGCGCAAGCCUGAUGCAGCCAUGCCGCGUGUAUGAAGAAGGCCUUCGGGUUGUAAAGUACUUUCAGCGGGGAGGAAGGGAGUAAAGUUAAUACCUUUGCUCAUUGACGUUACCCGCAGAAGAAGCACCGGCUAACUCCGUG
RNAcentral lists this ribosomal RNA (490 nucleotides) under uncultured bacterium. Its description in RNAcentral is "partial 16S ribosomal RNA". It matches the Rfam family "Bacterial small subunit ribosomal RNA", at positions 30 to 507 of the family's 1533-position model. The record is from RNAcentral.